Molecule: ribosomal RNA, 253 nt
Filed under: uncultured bacterium
Lineage: Bacteria
Description: partial 16S ribosomal RNA
Rfam family: Bacterial small subunit ribosomal RNA
Source: RNAcentral
UACAGAGGUCCCGAGCGUUGUUCGGAUUCACUGGGCGUAAAGGGUGCGUAGGUGGCUUGAAAAGUUUGAUGUGAAAGCUCAGGGCUUAACCCUGAAAUGGCAUUGAAUACUGUCGAGCUGGAGGUUUGGAGGGGGGACUGGAAUUCUUGGUGUAGCAGUGAAAUGCGUAGAUAUCAAGAGGAACACCAGUGGCGAAGGCGAGUCCCUGGACAACACCUGACACUGAGGCACGAAGGCUAGGGGAGCAAACAGG